RNAcentral lists this transfer RNA (85 nucleotides) under Magnetospirillum gryphiswaldense. Its description in RNAcentral is "tRNA-Leu". It matches the Rfam family "tRNA". From Rfam's summary of the family: Transfer RNA (tRNA) molecules are approximately 80 nucleotides in length. RNAcentral also lists the same sequence under 2 other names. Lineage: Bacteria; Pseudomonadati; Pseudomonadota; Alphaproteobacteria; Rhodospirillales; Rhodospirillaceae. The record is from RNAcentral.
GCGACCAUGGCGGAACUGGUAGACGCGCACGCUUGAGGUGCGUGUGACGUAAGUCGUGGGAGUUCGAGUCUCCCUGGUCGCACCA